GAUGAACGCUGGCGGCGUGCCUAAUACAUGCAAGUCGAGCGAACGGACGAGAAGCUUGCUUCUCUGAUGUUAGCGGCGGACGGGUGAGUAACACGUGGAUAACCUACCUAUAAGACUGGGAUAACUUCGGGAAACCGGAGCUAAUACCGGAUAAUAUUUUGAACCGCAUGGUUCAAAAGUGAAAGACGGUCUUGCUGUCACUUAUAGAUGGAUCCGCGCUGCAUUAGCUAGUUGGUAAGGUAACGGCUUACCAAGGCAACGAUGCAUAGCCGACCUGAGAGGGGGAUCGGCCACACUGGAACUGAGACACGGUCCAGACUCCUACGGGAGGCAGCAGUAGGGAAUCUGCCGCAAUGGGCGAAAGCCUGACGGAGCAACGCCGCGUGAGUGAUGAAGGUCUUCGGAUCGUAAAACUCUGUUAUUAGGGAAGAACAUAUGUGUAAGUAACUGUGCACAUCUUGACGGUACCUAAUCAGAAAGCCACGGCUAACUACGUG
Molecule: ribosomal RNA, 497 nt
Filed under: uncultured bacterium
Lineage: Bacteria
Description: partial 16S ribosomal RNA
Rfam family: Bacterial small subunit ribosomal RNA
Source: RNAcentral